GAGGAGGAGGAGGAGGAGGAAGAGGAGGAGGAGGAAAAGGAGGAGAAAUCUGCUGCUAACAUGGCCGUAAAUCCAGCCGCUGUCACAGCCGUCUGCACGGUAAUGAGGAGCUUUGGAAGACCACCAACGCCAGCCACAUCUUUCCAGUAAUCUACAGCACUGUCAAUGACAUCAUCAUCUAUUAUUAGGU
Molecule: non-coding RNA, 190 nt
Organism: Myodes glareolus (Bank vole)
Lineage: Eukaryota; Metazoa; Chordata; Mammalia; Rodentia; Cricetidae
Source: RefSeq, a predicted model, not a curated record